Molecule: ribosomal RNA, 466 nt
Filed under: uncultured bacterium
Lineage: Bacteria
Description: partial 16S ribosomal RNA
Rfam family: Bacterial small subunit ribosomal RNA
Source: RNAcentral
GACGAACGCUGGCGGCGUGCUUAACACAUGCAAGUCGAACGGAAAGGCCCUGCUUUUGUGGGGUGCUCGAGUGGCGAACGGGUGAGUAACACGUGAGUAACCUGCCCUUGACUUUGGGAUAACUUCAGGAAACUGGGGCUAAUACCGGAUAGGAGCUCCUGCUGCAUGGUGGGGGUUGGAAAGUUUCGGCGGUUGGGGAUGGACUCGCGGCUUAUCAGCUUGUUGGUGGGGUAGUGGCUUACCAAGGCUUUGACGGGUAGCCGGCCUGAGAGGGUGACCGGCCACAUUGGGACUGAGAGACGGCCCAGACUCCUACGGGAGGCAGCAGUGGGGAAUAAUGCACAAUGGGCGGAAGCCUGAUGCAGCAACGCCGCGUGCGGGAUGACGGCCUUCGGGUUGUAAACCGCUUUCGCCUGUGACGAAGCGUGAGUGACGGUAAUGGGUAAAGAAGCACCGGCUAACUACG